Molecule: long non-coding RNA, 660 nt
Organism: Oncorhynchus keta (chum salmon)
Lineage: Eukaryota; Metazoa; Chordata; Actinopteri; Salmoniformes; Salmonidae
Exons: 3
Source: RefSeq, a predicted model, not a curated record
UAUGGAACAUUCCACCUGAUUGGUAGCUUAGCAGGUAGAGUAUGGAACAUUCCACCUGAUUGGUAGCUUAGCAGGUAGAGUAUGGAACAUUCCACCUGAUUGGUAGCUUAGCAGGUAGAGUAUGGAACAUUCCACCUGAUUGGUAGCUUAGCAGGUAGAGUAUGGAACAUUCCACCUGAUUGGUAGCUUAGCAGGUAGAGUAUGGAACAUUCCACCUGAUUGGUAGCUUAGCAGGUAGAGUAUGGAACAUUCCACCUGAUUGGUAGCUUAGCAGGUAGAGUAUGGAACAUUCCACCUGAUUGGUAGCUUAGCAGGUAGAGUAUGGAACAUUCCACCUGAUUGGUAGCUUAGCAGGUAGAGUAUGGAACAUUCCACCUGAUUGGUAGCUUAGCAGGUAGAGUAUGGAACAUUCCACCUGAUUGGUAGCUUAGCAGGUAGAGUAUGGAACAUUCCACCUGAUUGGUAGCUUAGCAGGUAGAGUAUGGAACAUUCCACCUGAUUGGUAGCUUAGCAGGUAGAGUAUGGAACAUUCCACCUGAUUGGUAGCUUAGCAGGUAGAGUAUGGAACAUUCCACCUGAUUGGUAGCUUAGCAGGUAGAGUAUGGAACAUUCCACCUGAUUGGUAGCUUAGCAGGUAGAGUAUGGAACAUUCCACCUGAU